Molecule: non-coding RNA, 9382 nt
Organism: Podarcis lilfordi (Lilford's wall lizard)
Lineage: Eukaryota; Metazoa; Chordata; Lepidosauria; Squamata; Lacertidae
Source: the annotation of a GenBank genome assembly
AGCUCGACUGACGCCCUCCAGCCUUCCGCCGUCUCGCGGCGCGCCUUCCUGAAAAGCGCUCAGGAGGAAACGAGCGGCGUCUACGCCAAAGAAACAUCGCCAGAGACAGACGCGCCCUCCCGCGGAAGGCGAAAGGCAGGGGGCCGCUUGGGCGCUGUGAGCUAAACCGAAACCCCCACCCCCAACCGCGCCGCCCCCCUGGGCUCGAAGCACAGGUUGCUGCUCCACUCCCACCCGCACAUCCCAAGAGACCACGAAUAGUAAUAAUUUUUUAAAAAGAGUCGCUGGGGCUGGGGGCGCUUGGAAAUGCGUGGAACCUCUUAGUUUGGCAAUCAAGCCAAAGGAAACAUGCGCGCGCGCACACACGCACACAAACAACAACAGGAAAUUUAACGCUUUGCUGGCGAAAGUUAUCAGUAAGGCAAAAUGCUGUAAUGGAAACGCGGGACUCUUCAGGAUCCAGAUGGGAAAACUCCUUUCCUUGAUACCAUGUACGAAUAUGAAUCGGUAAUCAAAUCUGAUUUGAGCAGGGCUGCUUGUAAAGUGUGAGUGGAAACUGUCCAGUUAAUUUAUGGGGGGGCGGGGCACAGGUCCAGCUGCCCUGUUGUUUUUUUAAAAAAAGGAUAGUUGGAGAAAUGGCAGAAAGGAGCAGGCCAAAUUGAUCAGUGGGACUGGAACACCUCUUCUUUAUAAGGAGAGACUAAAUGUUUGGGACUUUCUAAAUUGGGAUGGGGAGGUAACUAGGGUGAGGGGGCCUGAUGUUUAUGAAAUCACAACUGAGAUAUUGUAGUGUGGAGUGCUCGUUUUUUAAGCUUUCCUGCCACCCCAUUUCUGCUCCAUCUGUCAGCCAGCAUCCCAUGAUCAUGGAGCAUGCACAGAACACAUUAGGAACAUAGACGGCUGCCAUACUGAGUAAGGCCCUUUGAUUCAUCUAACUCAAGACUGUCUACACGGGCAGCACCCUGGGUUCAUUUAGAGGUUUUUUUCCUUUAAAAAAAUACUACAAAUCUUUGGGUUCCUCCCCCCUACCUGCUCUUCUUUAGCGAUCACUCGUAGCCGAGUAAGAUUGUCUUCCAUGAAUAUGGUCUUAACAGUGUGUCCAUAAGUGACUGUGGAGUCCAAUUCCAGCUAAUACUUUAUCGACCUAAGGACUGACACCUGAGCUAUAUUAAUAUUUAGGUUGAGGCAUGGUGGGGAGAAAGUGAAUAUAUUUACAUCACCAACUCAAAGCAACCCAGAAGAACAACAGACAAAAGAGAGUAAUUAUUCAUCAAAAAACACAAUUAAUGUAUGGAACCCUUACCAUAAGACCUGGUGAUGGCCACUAGCUAUCACAGCAGAGAGCUAGGGAUAAUUGUAUUCAUUCCUGGGAAUCUGUCCAGUCCUAUAUAAAAGUUAAUGGUACUGAAUUCCCUAAGCUAAUUACAUAUAUGCUACAAAGUAACUGAGACUCAAUUUUUUUAUAUAAGCUAAACAAAAAGCAGAUGUUUUAAGGAUUUAUCCUACAAUAUUGUCUCUGGUGCAGUGAAUAUUUCAUAAAUCAUGAGCAACGGCUGUCUAAGUUGAUUGAUGAGUAGAAGAAAACCACUCACGAGGUCAAGCUGAGCAAUCUAAGUUUGUGCUUUUAUUUUAUUCUCUCCUUGCUCCCCAUUUCUUCCAUCUAGUACAAAAGUCUAAUACAAGACAGCUUUCCUGUUUUUCUCAAAAACUGCCAGACCAUGUGGCUCAAUUAGCGUUCUUGAAAUGGGAAGGCAUUGUGCUGGGCAGCAAUACCCUCCUAUCGUCACUUUUUCAUCUCCUUCUCUUCAAAAUCUAUCUGUGCUCCCCAGAUGUUAUUUCAGUCAUUAUGCAUUUUGAAAAGAGAACCAUGCAGUGAUUUUCUGAUGCCGUUGUGGUAGUAUAAGAUAACAUGAAAGGAAAAGCAAUUUUCAAGAAACCCUACUUAUAGCUUUGCUUCACUGUCUGAGAUUCUACAAAAAUGUAUAAAAAUAGGAUGUAAUUUCUAAUGGUUCAAAAGAUGGGUGGCACCUUACUCUCUAAACUACCUGCUCUAAAAAUGUUUAUUGGGACUAUUACACAGAGGCUGACGUGCAGAGAAGCCCACUAAUCUCCCUUUCCUUUCCUCUUAUCAUGCAGCCGCCUUACCCAAGGAGUAUGAAUGGGACUGAGAAGAAUGCUUUCUUUGGUUCCUAAGAAAACUUCCUUGCCAGGGAUGGAGAUGAUUCCAGAGAGGCAGUCUAUUCACCUUGAAACAACAACAGGUAGACUAUGAAAUUGGGAUAGCUCAGUUGGUUGAGCAUGAGACUCUUAAUCUCAGGGUUGUGGGUUCAAGCCUAACAUUGGGUAAAAAAUCCCUGCAUUGCAGGGGUUGGUUUGGAUGACAUUCAUGGUCCCUUCAAACUCUAUGAUAGGGCAAGAAGCUGACUGCAACAUAUACUCUGUUUAUCACAGGAACUGUCCUCUAUACAGUGGUACCUCAGGUUAAGAACUUAAUUCGUUCUGCAGGUCCGUUCUUAACCUGAAACUGAUCUUAACCUGAAGCACUACUUUAGCUAAUGGGGGCCUCCCGCUGCCACCGCGCCGCCGGGGCACGAUUUCUGUUCUCAUCUUGAAGCAAAGUUCUUAACCCGAAGUAAUAUUUCUGGGUUAGCGGAGUCUGUAACCUGAAGCGUAUGUAACCUGAGGUACCACCGUACCUUAAACAGUACAACUGGAACAGGGUGACUUGAAUAAGUGCUUCUCAAGCUAUCUGAGAUGGUGGACUAGCAAACCCCCACACAAUAUGCCAAACACUGGUAUCAUGUUUGGUCCCUGAAGUGCACCAUCCAACCUGGGCUGGGAUGGUGUUGCCUUUGAGUAGCACUGACCUAAAUGGGGUCAGUUCCUUGAUGAGGACAUUUUUGCAACAUUUGGGACUUUUUCAUUUAUAAAAGACUUAAGUAAGGAGUACUAGUGAGACAUAAAAUUAUGCACUGAGUGGCGAAAAUAAAUUAGAGCUUUCCUCCCUCUCUCACAAUAGAGCCAGUGUGGUGUAGUGGUUAAGAGCGGUAGUCUCGUAAUCUGGUGAACUGGGUUCGCGUCUCCGCUCCUCUACAUUCAGCUGCUGGGUGACCUUGGGCCAGUCACACUUCUUUGAAGUCUCUCAGCCCCACUCACCUCACAGAGUGUUUGUUGUGGGGGAGGAAGGGAAAGGAGAAUGUUAGCCGCUUUGAGACUCCUUAAAGGGAGUGAAAGGCGGGAUAUCAAAUCCAAACUCUUCUUCUUCUUCAUAAUAGCAGAACCAGGCUCAUCCAGUUAAGCUGACUAUUGGAGGAUUCAGAACAAACAAAACAAAGUACAUCUUCACAUAGCACUGAGUUUAACUAUGGAAGUCACCACCCACAAGAUGUAGCAGUAAUGGAUGUCAACUUGAGUAGCUGUAAGUGGUGUAGCAGUAAAACUGCUAGCACAUGUGCAAAGCUAAGCAGGGUCCGGUAUGGUUUCAAAUUGGAUGAAGGACCGCGUGUUGAGAUUCCUGCACUGCAGGGAGUUGGACUAGAUGACCCUCAGGAUACCUUCCAACUCUACAAUUCUAUGAUUCUAUGAAAAGGGGAUUAAACGGAUCGAUGUCUAUGUAGUCCCGUGCCAAGAUACUACGUCUAGUAUCAGAGGUGGUACACUGCUGAAAUCUGAAUGCCAGUUGCUGGGCAACAGGAGCAGGAGAGCCCUGUUGUGCUCAUGUCCUGCUUGCAGGCCUCCCACAGGCAUCUGGCUGGCUACUCUGAGAAAUAGAUGGGCAUUUGUUCUGAUCUUGUAAAGCUCUUCUUAUGUUUGUAGGAUGACCAGAAAUGUGGGGAUCAGGAGUUCAAAUUCACAAACACAAUCUGAAUUCUAUCUAUUCAUAACGGUUAUUGUGAUGCAUGCAUGCUGGACACCUGCACAGAAUUGUCUAAUAAUAAUCUGAAGGACAUUUGGUUCAAUCCUUCUGUAAAUGCAACAGUGUUAUCCACAUUAAGUACCCUUUACAAACUAGCUGGUAUGAUCAAGGCUGCAGCAUGUUCAAAUUGUAAGCAGAAGCAAACAUGGUGCACUAUACAACUUUGUUUUCAAGCUUCAAGUAACAGCACCCAUGAGACAUGCAUAUAUAUAUUGCACCUGCAGAUGCUCAAGGGGUUUAAUUCAGAUUUUGAAAUAUUCCCAUAAUUGCUUGCAUGGUUUAUUAACCAUUCUAUGCAUAGGAAAUACCACAGUCAGCAGUUAAUUGUGCAGAAUCAAAAUAUCAAGCAAGCUGUGUGGAAACAUUGAUAGCAUAAAGAAGAAAGAUAGCUCACAGGGCAGUUUUCCAUCUGUAUGUAUAACUAUGUAUAUAAUAUCAAUUGUCUUCUCCUUUCAGAAAAUUAUUACCAUUUCAGUGCAUAUGCUUGUGGAUAGAUAGCAGAAUUACCCUCUGUAAUGAGUGCAACCUGGUUCAUAGAAACUUUAGGCCUAGUUCCACAAACAGCUGUUGAGGCGGUAAACCUAGGUCCAGACUGUGCAGGCAUGAACUCACAUGACUGAAUUCUCCUUCUCCAAUUUACAUUUAAUCCACAGGGAAUUGUUUGUAUGAAAGAUCAUUUAAUCAUGUACUCCCAUCUGCAGUUUGAGGUAGUACAGUUCAGACAGAGGCUCACUACCUUAUCUGUUGUGGUUUUUGGAAGAAGCAAGCCUUAGUGUGCUACCAGAAGAAGAAGAAGAGUUUGGAUUUGAUAUCCCGCCUUUCACUCCCUUUAAGGAGUCUCAAAGCGGCUAACAUUCUCCUUUCCCUUCCUCCCCCACAACAAACACUCUGUGAGGUGAGUGGGGCUGAGAGACUUCAAAGAAGUGUGACUGGCCCAAGGUCACCCAGCAGCUGCAUGUGGAGGAGCGGAGACCCGAACCCGGUUCCCCAAAGUACGAGACUACCACUCUUAACCACUACACCACACUGGCUCUACCAGUGAAGGAUGGCAUCUGAACUUGAUCAGAAGCUGCCAAAUGUAUGCACUUUGCACAAAACUAGCUGUCUAGUCCUGUUAUGUUGGGUGAGUUUCAGUUAGUAAGGCUUGAGGAUGCAGACAAGGUGCUUGAAUUGGUCAGGGCAGCUGCUUGCCCCCUUGGCUGAUAAAAAACCAGCAGGCAGGGAGCAGCUGGCUGGGCCAGGGAGAUGAUUAAUGCCUCCUUGUGAGAGAGAGUGGUCCCUGCCUGCUUCAAGCAGGCAAUGGUAAAACCCCUCCUCAACAACCCCUCCCUGGAUUCGGAAAAUCUAAGUAAUUAUACUGGCCAGUUACCAAUAUCCCUUUCUUGGGCAAGGUUUUCUAGAUUCAUUUCAAUCAGGGUUUAAGCUGGGUUUUAGCACAGAAACUGCUUUGAUCACCCUGUAUGAUGACUUCUGUCAGGGGGGACGGACGGACAUGUUCUUGUUCAUUCUCCUUGACCUCUCAGUGGCUUUUCAUACCAUCAACCAUGAUAUCCUCUGGACCAUCUCUUUGCUUUAGGGGUGGGUGACACUGAUUUGUGGCAGGUUUCAGUCCCACUUGGGUGGUUGUUCCAGAGAGUGGUGCUUGGGGCGUGCUCUUCAGUUCCAUGGAACCUUUAAUGUGGGGUUCCUCAGGGUUCUAUUUUAUCCCCUGCUGUUUAACAUCUACAUGAAACCACUGAGUGGGGUCACUGGGAGUUUUGGAGAAGGUUAGCAGCAGUAUUCUGUUAACACACAGCUCUACUUUUCCUUUACAUCUGCAAGUGUGGCAGUGGAUGUACUGGACUGUUGUCUCGCCUUGGCAAUGGGCUGGAUGAGAGCCAAUAAACCGAAGUUCAAUCCAGGUAAGACUGAGGCACUGUUAGUGGGUGGUUCCUUAGACCAGAUGGGUGGGACUUGAUGGAGUUACAAAUCCCUCUGAAGAAGCGAGUAUGCAGCUAGAAGGUACUUCUAGAUCCACUGCUGUCACUUGAGGCUCAGGUGGCCUUGGUGGCAUGGAGUGUCUUCCAGCAGCUUCAGCUGGUGGACCAGCACCCUGUCUGGUGUCAUGGGCUGGCUGGAUGCAGAGGAGUAGUGCGAGGCACAAGCUGGGGAACCCCCAGGGGAAGAAGGCUCAGAGCCAGGGGACUGGUGGUGGGACAACAAUGAGUGGUCAGAGGGAGAAGAGGGAGCAGAUUGGGGGGAGGUGGUGUUGGAAGCUGACGAGGUAACAGGGUUUAGUGAGCAGGAAGAGCUCUGGCUAUGAAGCACUGCAUCACAACUAAGGGUUCUUAUUAUUGUAUGAGCUCUCAGUUGUUGACAGAAAAAGCAUUUCAGACCUUAUCUGUUUGACCUUGUAUGACAGAUAAUAGCCACUAUGCAGGAAAUCACAAAGGGUUGACUGUCCAUGCUUUUCUCAUUUUCCAGUACGCUAUGAUCACAAGGAAAGUAACUUUCAACCAAAUGCUAUUUGGCCUGCCAUGUAAAUAGCAAUAAGCUGCAGCAACUAUCAGUGCCAGUUCUGUAUCAGCCAAGGAAUGAGCGGCAUGGCUGAGUGACACAGGACAUGCUGUAUUUCACAAGAACACUAUCAAUGAACACUCCAAGUAACUGUCAUCCUUUGACGAUCUCAUUAAAUGAGGUAUUCCAGCUGCUAAGGCAAAUGCAUCUCUCAGUCUAAUACAACGGACAUGAAACCACACCAACUGUUGUGGUACACUACAUAAACUCACUCAGGUAGUUGAAACCAUUUCCCAUUUCCCCUAAUAACCGAAAGUAAUCAUAAGCUGAAAGCAACUGGCUUGCAUUAUAUUUAUGAACCUGGAUUUACUUUUCUCACCUAUGUAUAGAAAGUAAAAGCUUAGCAGGGAAUAAAAGAAGUUCAAGUUUGGGUUCAUACGUUUGUUGUUGUUGUUUAGAUUUGUAUACCGCCCUACACCCAUUAGAUCUGAGGGUGUUUCACAACAUAAAAAUACACAAAAUACAUAAUUUAUAUUAUUUAUAGUGUGCACAUAGUGUGGACGGGUCUCUGCCUAGAAGAGAUUGCAAUUUAAAACUUGCCGAUAGCAGGAAAGUAAAGACUGGGGUAAACAGGGCAGCAGUAUAUGAUUCUUUCUGUUGCAUGUGCUUUGACUUAGGCCACAUUCACACCAUACAUUUAAAAGCUCUAUGAUACAGUGGUACCUCAGGUUACAGGUGCUUCAGGUUACAGACUCCGCUAACCCAGAAAUAGUACCUUGGGUUAAGAACUUUCCUUCAGGAUGAGAACAGAAAUCGCGCUGCGGCGGCACAGCAGCAGCAGGAGGCCCCAUUAGCUAAAGUGGUACCUCAGGUUAGGAACAGUUUCAGGUUAAGAACGGACCUCCAGAACAAAUUAAGUUCUUAACCCAAGGUACCACUGUACUACUCUAAACAGUUGUGGCUUCCCCCAAAGAAUUCUGGAAGCUGUAGUUUGCGAAGGGUGAUGAGAGUUGUUAGGAGACUCCUACACCUCUCACAGAGCUGCCAUUCCCUGUGAAGAGGGAUUGACUGUUAAGCCACUCUGCAAAUUGUAGCUCUGUGAAGGGAAUUGGUGUGUCCUAUGUACCACUACACAUUUAUUUUACAACCUUGGGAUCAUUCCUAAAACCAGCCGUUUAGCAUGUUAAAACCAUUAGUCAAAAACUGGAUAAAAUCAUGGCCUUUAGAUAAUGUGUGCAUAGCCCAUUUUUCUGCAAGUGAUUUUCCCUGGCUUGCCCCACAUUAUGCAAAUCCUCCUUUGAAAUUAGAAAAUCACAGUUCUGUAACUAUGUAACCUAUGUAACAGGGUAAUAGAAUGGGCAAUGAUGCAUUAAGUAGUCUUGUGUAAUAGCCCAUUUAAAAAGGAAUAGUCAUAGAGGAAAUACAUUACUUAAAGCUCUUAAACUGCUAAAGCCCAAAGGUGUAUUGGAAGUGUCUCUCUAAAUCUCAUAACACAGAAAUUAUGAAUGUGUGUUCAUUGCAUUUAAUAAGGGUUUAGUUUCCAAUCAUAGUUUAUUUUGUGGCCCAGACAUUCAAUGAAUACUUAAAUGGAAAACAGCAGAUAAUCUAUUUCAUGCUACAUACAUUUGGAGUUUAAAUGAACUGAGGCCAUCAUCAGCUACUGAUUCUCAUAAAUGCAAAGUCCAUGUCCCAUUUUACAAUUACUGCCAAGGGAGCUCUCGACUUUGCCUGCAUAGGUCUAAAUGAGCUUUUCAAGUCAGAUGAAACUGCUGCAAUUCUACAUUUCUGUAACCAAGAUCAUAUGCUUUUUUUAAAAAAUCCAGUUGUGUCUAUUGGAUUUCUAUAGAAGCCUUGUUCAUAUUGCACUGAUGAAUUGCUGAAUUGUAGAGAGGCACAGCGUUAGCAAUUUACUGUUACACUGUAAUAAUUCAGGAACAACUUACCAAAAGCAUCAAGUUCAAAGCAUAUUUUAAAAGCUAUUAACUAAUAAAUUACAUAUCUUUAGUGUCUACAAUACCCAGCACUGCUGCAUUUAUGUCAAUGCCCUUUUAAAAUGCUCCAGCAUCAACUGAAAUUGGCAAUAGUAGUAUUCAGGACUUCUUCAUUUUCUAAAAAUGUUUGCUGUUUUAUCAUUGGGAUCAACUGAAUGGAAUAACCAACAGACUAAUUAAUUAACAGGCCAAUUAUGUUUUUACUCUUUUAUGCAAGGACAUUUCUUUCUCAGUUUUUCACAGUACCUAAGCAGACAUCUCAAUAUUCUAGAAACAGGAACAUCUGCCCAGCCCUUGAAAGGAAUCUCAAGAUUCCUGCUAAUUUAAUGUUAUUGACCUCAUAGCUACUUUCCCCUCAAGCAGUCUUGACUCUUUGAGAAAUGCAUUGUUUUGACAAAAAGCAGAGUUUGUAUCAUUAACAUAAUAUUUUAGGUUUAAAAACGUCUUAAAACUGACUAUACACUACUAGAAUGUCAAUGAAAUUUACGUUUCUUGCUUUCUGCCACCUGUUUAGACUUGGUUCUUGUAAACUGUGUUGGGAAUAAUUUUAUCCUAUCCAUACUUCCCAUAAAUAUAGCAUCUAUGACUUAGCUGGACCAUAAAGAAGGCUGAUCGCCGAAUAAUUGAUGCUUUUGAAUUAUGGUGCUGGAGGAGAAUCUUGAGAGUCCCAUGGACUGCAAGAAGAUCAAACUGAUCCAUUCUUAAGGAAAUCAGCCCUGACUGCUCACUGGAAGGACAGACUGUGAAGCUGAGGCUCCACCUCAUGAGAAGAGAAGACUCCCUGGAAAAGACCCUGAUGCUGGGUAAGAUGGAGGGCACAAGGAGAAGGGGAUGACAGAGGACGAGAUGGUUGGACAGUGUUCUCAAAGCUACCAGCAUGAGUUUGACCAAACUGCGGGAGGCAGUGGAAGACAGGAGUGCCUGGCGUGCUAUGGUCCAUGGGGUCACAAAGAGUCGGACAUGACUAAACAACAACAAC